Molecule: long non-coding RNA, 234 nt
Filed under: Ananas comosus (pineapple)
Lineage: Eukaryota; Viridiplantae; Streptophyta; Magnoliopsida; Poales; Bromeliaceae
Description: long non-coding RNA (ACOM_LNC019098)
Source: RNAcentral
UGAUGAUUUUACGAAGUAACCUAUAGUUUAAAAUAUAUUAUUCCGAAUUUUUUACUAUAGUACCCUAUAGUUUUAACCGUAGAGGAUAACGGAAAGAGAAACACAACUAUAAAUACGAAAGUAAUAUAUUUUAAGUCAUAGAACACUUAAGUGAGAAAGCGCGAAUUCACAUAGGUAGUAUUUGAAGUUCUUUUUUUAUUUAAAUAGUUUUUAUUCCUAAAUUUUACUGAUAUG